Molecule: ribosomal RNA, 468 nt
Filed under: uncultured bacterium
Lineage: Bacteria
Description: partial 16S ribosomal RNA
Rfam family: Bacterial small subunit ribosomal RNA
Source: RNAcentral
GACGAACGCUGGCGGCGUGCUUAACACAUGCAAGUCGAACGGAAAGGCCCUGCUUUUGUGGGGUGCUCGAGUGGCGAACGGGUGAGUAACACGUGAGUAACCUGCCCUUGACUUUGGGAUAACUUCAGGAAACUGGGGCUAAUACCGGAUAGGAGCUCCUGCUGCAUGGUGGGGGUUGGAAAGUUUCGGCGGUUUGGGAUGGACUGGCGGCUUAUCAGCUUGUUGGUGGGGUAGUGGCUUACCAAGGCUUUGACGGGUAGCCGGCCUGAGAGGGUGACCGGCCACAUUGGGACUGAGAUACGGCCCAGACUCCUACGGGAGGCAGCAGUGGGGAAUAUUGCACAAUGGGCGGAAGCCUGAUGCAGCAACGCCGCGUGCGGGAUGACGGCCUUCGGGUUGUAAACCGCUUUCGCCUGUGACGAAGCGUGAGUGACGGUAAUGGGUAAAGAAGCACCGGCUAACUACGUG